RNAcentral lists this long non-coding RNA (1450 nucleotides) under Musa acuminata (dwarf banana). Its description in RNAcentral is "long non-coding RNA (MACU_LNC000988)". The record is from RNAcentral. Lineage: Eukaryota; Viridiplantae; Streptophyta; Magnoliopsida; Zingiberales; Musaceae.
GGGAAUUUGAUGGGGAAUUUGAUGGGUGAUAAUGUGUUUCUUCAGAACUCAAUCACUGAUCCCAUAGAAUACUUAUCAUCACAGUUUCCUGGUUUUGCCGUUCAGAGCCUUUUAGAUGUUUAUUAUGCAAAUGGAUGUGAUUUGACCUUGACCAUUGAGAUUCUGACUCAGCUUGAGGUGUGUGUGCAUCCAUCCAGACUUCUGUUCUUUUAAAUAAAUUAUCAAAAAUUGGUGCCUGAUUAGGAUAUGUAUCUUGGAUUAUAAGAAAUCAGAACUUGGAUCCAUCUUUAUAUUACCAUUUAGUUGAUAAUUCACAAGGCAACAAUCACAGAUAUGAAUUCGUCAGGAUUUUGAUGUCUAGGAUCUCCUCGAAUGAUUUAUAGUUAGCUGUUCUGUUCAAUUCUUAAAAUAAUGUGUUUUACCAUCUGUGCCUAAAUCAGUCAGCUAGCUAGUUGACAAUGCACCACGUCAUCGGAAUUCAAGUUUACAAGUGUAGCUAUGGAUAUUACUCUAACUCAAUAUAUAUUUUAAAUUGACUCAAAAGUCCAGAAAGCAUAAUAUGAAAACCAGAAUUUAUUCCAUUUUCUACAUUGAAAUAUAUUCAGAUUGCUUCGCUGUAUUAUCUGAAGUAUAAACCUGAUCAUUAGAAAAUGUAUUUGUCAAUAUACUUGUGAGUAGUAUCAUGUUCUAGGAUAUAUUAAAUAGAAACAGAAAGCAGAAGAAAAUCACUUUGGAAGCUUCUAAGCACCAUGGGAACUAUUAUAUAUCUUUUAUUUCACUAGAUGGAUCUCUUGGUCUUUAAACAAAUGAGAAAUUGUGGUUCUUCGUCUGUCCCUUUUAACAAAGUAAUCAAAUAUAAAUCUUUCAUAAUAGAAUAUGGGAAAUUUGUAUAUAUACACCGUUUUAAAUGCUUUUAGGAAGCAGUAUUAUCUCAAGUGUAAGUGGAUUGAUAUCCAGAGAGAUGCCUAUAUUUUUAAAAUGUUAAUGUAGGUAACAUCUGUCUAUUGAUCUUUCUAGGUGACUUGUAUGUGACUACCUUUGUUUUCUUGUGUUAUUUGCUGACCAUAAUGGAAUAAGGUGCUGUAUUUGUUAAUGAUAGUGCUUUCAUUGUUGUUUGCUUUGCUUUUAAAGAUUUUACCAUGCAAUACUACUAGAGUUUUGCUGAUGAAUUUGUUUGAAAUAAUAAAACCAUCUUGGCUGAUGCUACGUCUUUAAGUUAUAUAUCACUUGGCAUAAUGACUUGUUUGAGGGUUGAUAUUCAAUUUUUUGUAUUGCAGCUUCAAGUUGAUGCUGGCUCUGACCAAAACCUUAGCACAAAUUCCUUGUCUGCUCCAAACUUUAGCCCGAUGGACUUUCCAGCUCUUCCAUUAGCAGACACUCAAAAUCAGUUGUCAAAGUAUACUGGAGAAGAUGUUCAACAUGGUUUUAAUAUGCACAAAUCUUCUUCUGG